Molecule: transfer RNA, 71 nt
Filed under: Dipodomys ordii (Ord's kangaroo rat)
Lineage: Eukaryota; Metazoa; Chordata; Mammalia; Rodentia; Heteromyidae
Rfam family: tRNA
About the family: Transfer RNA (tRNA) molecules are approximately 80 nucleotides in length.
Source: Rfam by way of RNAcentral
GCUGGUAGAGCUCAGUGGUAGAGCGCUUGCCUUCAUGCAUGAGGCCCUGAGUUCGAUUCCUCAGCACCACA